GAGUAACCUGCCCUUAACUCUGGGAUAAGCCUGGGAAACUGGGUCUAAUACCGGAUAGGAGCGUCCACCGCAUGGUGGGUGUUGGAAAGAUUUAUCGGUUUUGGAUGGACUCGCGGCCUAUCAGCUUGUUGGUGAGGUAAUGGCUCACCAAGGCGACGACGGGUAGCCGGCCUGAGAGGGUGACCGGCCACACUGGGACUGAGACACGGCCCAGACUCCUACGGGAGGCAGCAGUGGGGAAUAUUGCACAAUGGGCGAAAGCCUGAUGCAGCGACGCCGCGUGAGGGAUGACGGCCUUCGGGUUGUAAACCUCUUUCAGUAGGGAAGAAGCGAAAGUGACGGUACCUGCAGAAGAAGCACCGGCUAACUACGUGCCAGCAGCCGCGGUAAUACGUAGGGUGCGAGCGUUAUCCGGAAUUAUUGGGCGUAAAGAGCUCGUAGGCGGUUUGUCGCGUCUGUCGUGAAAGUCCGGGGGCUUAACCCCGGAUCUGCGGUGGGUACGGGCAGACUAGAGUGCAGUAGGGGAGACUGGAAUUCCUGGUGUAGCGGUGGAAUGCGCAGAUAUCAGGAGGAACACCGAUGGCGAA
This 587-nucleotide ribosomal RNA is filed under the name Micrococcus luteus. RNAcentral's name for it is "bacterial SSU rRNA". It matches the Rfam family "Bacterial small subunit ribosomal RNA", at positions 119 to 719 of the family's 1533-position model. The record is from RNAcentral. Lineage: Bacteria; Bacillati; Actinomycetota; Actinomycetes; Micrococcales; Micrococcaceae.